CCGGUUGAUCCUGCCGGACCCUACUGCUAUCGGGGUGGGACUAAGACAUGCGAGUCGAGCGUCUGCCAAGGAUUUGGAGACGCGACAGAUGGCUCAGUAAUGCGUGGCUAACCUAGCCUCAGGCCGGAGACAGCCCCGGGGAACUGGGGCAUAUAUCCGAUAGGCGAGAAGGCCUGGAAUGGCUUCUCGCCUAAAGACGUUGAAAACUUUUCAACGUCUCCUGAGGAUGGGGCCGCGCCCGAUCAGGUUGUUGGUGAGGUAAUGGCUCACCAAGCCUAUAACCGGUACGGGCCGUGAGAGCGGUAGCCCGGAGAUGGGUACUGAGACAAGGACCCAGGCCCUACGGGGCGCAGCAGUCGCGAAAACUCCGCAAUGCACGAAAGUGUGACGGGGCUACCCCGAGUGCUAUCCGCUGAGGAUAGCUUUUCCCUGGUAUAACUAGCCAGGGGAAUAAGGAGAGGGCAAGACUGGUGUCAGCCGCCGCGGUAAUACCAGCUCUCCGAGUGGUAGGGAUGAUUAUUGGGCUUAAAGCGUCCGUAGCCGGCUUAGCAAGUCUCCUGUUAAACUCAGCGACUUAAUCGUUGAAUCGCGGGAGAUACUACUAGGCUAGGAGGCGGGAGAGGUCGACGGUACUUCUGGGGUAGGGGUGAAAUCCUAUAAUCCCGGGAGGACCACCAGUGGCGAAGGCUGUCGACUAGAACGCGCUCGACGGUGAGGGACGAAAGCUGGGGGAGCGAACCGGAUUAGAUACCCGGGUAGUCCCAGCUGUAAACGAUGCGGGCUAGGUGUUGGAAUGGCUACGUGCCAUUUCAGUGCCGCAGGGAAGCCAUUAAGCCCGCCGCCUGGGGAGUACGGCCGCAAGGCUGAAACUUAAAGGAAUUGGCGGGGGAGCAC
RNAcentral lists this ribosomal RNA (894 nucleotides) under uncultured archaeon. RNAcentral describes it as "bacterial SSU rRNA". It matches the Rfam family "Archaeal small subunit ribosomal RNA", at positions 4 to 879 of the family's 1478-position model. The record is from RNAcentral.